RNAcentral lists this ribosomal RNA (1383 nucleotides) under uncultured bacterium. RNAcentral's name for it is "bacterial SSU rRNA". It matches the Rfam family "Bacterial small subunit ribosomal RNA", at positions 29 to 1403 of the family's 1533-position model. The record is from RNAcentral.
UUGAACGCUGGCGGUAUGCUUAACACAUGCAAGUCGAACGGAAACGAUACUAGCUUGCUAGUAGGCGUCGAGUGGCGGACGGGUGAGUAACGCGUAGGAAUCUGCCUGAUAGUGGGGGAUAGCCCGAAGAAAUUCGGAUUAAUACCGCAUAAUCUAUUCGUAGUAAAGUGGGGGACUUUCGAGCCUCACGCUAUCAGAUGAGCCUGCGUAAGAUUAGCUUGUUGGUAGGGUAAAAGCCUACCAAGGCGACGAUCUUUAGCUGGUCUGAGAGGAUGAUCAGCCACAUCGGGACUGAGACACGGCCCGAACUCCUACGGGAGGCAGCAGUGGGGAAUAUUGGACAAUGGGGGCAACCCUGAUCCAGCAAUACCGCGUGUGUGAAGAAGGCCUGAGGGUUGUAAAGCACUUUCAAUUGUGAAGAAAAGUUAGCGGUUAAUAACCGUUAGCCUUGACGUUAACUUUAGAAGAAGCACCGGCUAACUCCGUGCCAGCAGCCGCGGUAAUACGGAGGGUGCAAGCGUUAAUCGGAAUUACUGGGCGUAAAGCGUGCGUAGGCGGUUUAUUAAGUCAGAUGUGAAAGCCCCGGGCUUAACCUGGGAACUGCAUUUGAAACUGGUCAACUAGAGUAUGGUAGAGGAAAGUGGAAUUUCUGGUGUAGCGGUGAAAUGCGUAGAUAUCAGAAGGAACAUCAAUGGCGAAGGCAGCUUUCUGGACCAAUACUGACGCUGAGGUACGAAAGCGUGGGUAGCAAACAGGAUUAGAUACCCUGGUAGUCCACGCCGUAAACGAUGAUAACUAGCCGUUGGGGGGAUUUACCCUUUAGUGGCGAAGCUAACGCGUUAAGUUAUCCGCCUGGGGAGUACGGCCGCAAGGUUAAAACUCAAAGGAAUUGACGGGGACCCGCACAAGCGGUGGAGCAUGUGGUUUAAUUCGAUGCAACGCGAAGAACCUUACCUGGUCUUGACAUCCUGCGAACUUUCUAGAAAUAGAUCGGUGCCUUCGGGAACGCAGUGACAGGUGCUGCAUGGCUGUCGUCAGCUCGUGUCGUGAGAUGUUGGGUUAAGUCCCGUAACGAGCGCAACCCCUAUCCUUAUUUGCCAGCACAUCAUGGUGGGAACUAUAAGGAGACUGCCGGUGAUAAACCGGAGGAAGGCGGGGACGACGUCAAGUCAUCAUGGCCCUUACGACCAGGGCUACACACGUGCUACAAUGGGAAGGACAAAGAGCCGCGAAGCCGCGAGGUGUAGCUAAUCUCAUAAACCUUUUCGUAGUCCGGAUUGGAGUCUGCAACUCGACUCCAUGAAGUCGGAAUCGCUAGUAAUCGUAGAUCAGAAUGCUACGGUGAAUACGUUCCCGGGUCUUGUACACACCGCCCGUCAAGGG